RNAcentral lists this ribosomal RNA (157 nucleotides) under Aspergillus sparsus. Its description in RNAcentral is "5.8S ribosomal RNA". It matches the Rfam family "5.8S ribosomal RNA". Rfam says of the family: 5.8S ribosomal RNA (5.8S rRNA) is a component of the large subunit of the eukaryotic ribosome. It is transcribed by RNA polymerase I as part of the 45S precursor that also contains 18S and 28S rRNA. The record is from RNAcentral. Lineage: Eukaryota; Fungi; Ascomycota; Eurotiomycetes; Eurotiales; Aspergillaceae. RNAcentral also lists the same sequence under 2 other names.
AAACUUUCAACAAUGGAUCUCUUGGUUCCGGCAUCGAUGAAGAACGCAGCGAACUGCGAUAAUUAAUGUGAAUUGCAGAAUUCAGUGAAUCAUCGAGUCUUUGAACGCACAUUGCGCCCCCUGGUAUUCCGGGGGGCAUGCCUGUCCGAGCGUCAUU